CGGACGGGUGAGUAAUGUCUGGGAAACUGCCUGAUGGAGGGGGAUAACUACUGGAAACGGUAGCUAAUACCGCAUAACGUCGCAAGACCAAAGAGGGGACCUUAGGGCCUCUUGCCAUCGGAUGUGCCCAGAUGGGAUUAGCUAAUAGGUGGGGUAACGGCUCACCUAGGCGACGAUCCCUAGCUGGUCUGAGAGGAUGACCAGCCACACUGGAACUGAGACACGGUCCAG
RNAcentral lists this ribosomal RNA (231 nucleotides) under uncultured bacterium. RNAcentral describes it as "partial 16S ribosomal RNA". It matches the Rfam family "Bacterial small subunit ribosomal RNA", at positions 99 to 334 of the family's 1533-position model. The record is from RNAcentral.